UACGGAGGGUGCAAACGUUGCUCGGAAUUAUUGGGCGUAAAGCGCACGUAGGCGGACCGCUAAGUCGGAUGUGAAAUCCCUCAGCUUAACUGAGGAAGUGCAUUCGAAACUGACGGUCUUGAGUACGGAAGAGGGUCGCGGAAUUCCCGGUGUAGAGGUGAAAUUCGUAGAUAUCGGGAGGAACACCAGUGGCGAAGGCGGCGACCUGGGCCGAUACUGACGCUGAGGUGCGAAGGCGUGGGGAGCAAACAGG
Molecule: ribosomal RNA, 253 nt
Filed under: uncultured bacterium
Lineage: Bacteria
Description: partial 16S ribosomal RNA
Rfam family: Bacterial small subunit ribosomal RNA
Source: RNAcentral